UGGCAGCGAGCGAAAGUAAUCCUGAAAGUGAUAUUGGUGGGGCACACCGUUUGUUGGAAAAACCAACCAAUCCCUGUUGGCCAUGCGACGACUUGCAUGCCCUUAAUUUUCAAAGUCUUCCAUUGACCAGCGAGGUAGUGAACACUAAACACACACAUCAUCGCCCAAGUACGUACAAAUCUACACAUCUUCUUCAGGCUUCAGGCCUUCAUCCAUUCUGCUUCCAUCUCCUCCAUCAGGCUUGAGGCUUCGACCAGAUCACAGCUCUCCAGUUACCACCAGCCAUGGGUGCCAAGACCACCUCAUGCUUCACCUUCCUCAAGGAAGCGCUGGUCCUCCCCACGCGAAACCCCAAGCUCUUCGCCCCCAUCCUCAUCCUCCUGGCCAUCAUCGCCUUCCUCGUCCCCGCGGUCAACGUGGUCCUCAUCCAGCCGCUCACCGCCGAGAUGCUCCGCCACGUCACCGAGAUGCAGACCACCGACCCCUCGAGCGCCGAGUUCGCCAGGCUCCUGGAGGAGAUACGACAGGAGGCCAGGGAGCUCGUCCUCAUCGCCGUCGGCCUCUUUUUCGUCACCCUGGCGCUCGUCUUCGCCAAGCAGAUCCUCGCCUUCUCCGCGGCCUCCACGACCUACUCCGGCGACCGCUACUCGCUCGCCGAGCUCCUCCGCAGGCUGACCAAGUGGGCCAACCUGAGAGGCCCUCUCGUCACCAUGGGCGUGGUCACCGCGCUCCAGCUCACGUUCAUGGCGCUCCUGGGCGCCUACCUCUCCACCGUCAUGCGCCACGCGGGGGCGCUGUCCGUGCAAGGCGCGCUCUUCGUCCUCGCCUUCCUGGCCUUCAUGUACUUCGGGGUGGUGGCGGUGGUGGGCGUCGCCGUGUCGGUGGCCGACGAGGAGUGCCGCGGCGUGCGCGCGAUCCUGCGGGCGUGGCGGCUCAUGACGCGGGUGAGCAGGAAGGAGGGCGCCCUGCUGGCGGCGGUGAUGGUCCUCCUGUCGACCGCUGUGAGCCCGGUGUAUGCGCUAGCGCUCGUGUACGCCAAGAAGAGCAUGGCGGUGGGGCUGUGCCUGCUGUUUGGGUAUGCUCUUCUUUCUGCUGCGGUGGAGCUGUUCUACAUGGCGGCGGCCACGGUGUACUACUAUGAGGCCAUGGAGAGCAAGGAGGUGGUCCUGGCUUUUGAUGGCUACUAUGCCGAGAUACCUUCCCGUGAGGCAAAUGUCUGAUUGAUCGGCCGGCACCGUAUAAUGAGUCAUAUACUUUGUGGUGCUUCCUAGCUGUUCAUUAUCAUUGUACUACUACGUGUAUAUGUUACUAUGUCAGUCCUCGAUCAUAUAUACAGAAAAGUAGGCAAAAUCAGCAGCCAUCGGCCCCUCCAGCCAGGCAGAUGUUUGUUCUCAAGGACGCCAUUCACUUUUGGGUGCUUUCCGCUUUGCGGCGGAGAGGAUCAUCCAUGGAUCUGCGUGGCCGGGAAUGGAUUCUAGUUCCGAUUAGAUCUGAGUGGACAGGUAUUCUUGAUUUACCCUCGCUUGAUUUUUGGGAUUAUCCACUCUUUUGGUGUGAGUACAUCUCAGGAACGUUGCCUUCUUCGGGCAGGUUCCCCUUGCCUGCGAUUGGGGGCGAUGAGUACACACCGGGGGCGCACCCCGUGGCAGAUCUGCUGAGCAGGGUAGCCGAGUCCGGCAUUGGCAAUGUUGGAGUUGUGUCGAAUAUUGUGUACAAGGUAGGUUACAGUUGGACUUAUAGUUGUACCGUGUUUACAUAGGAUGUGGAGUCGUGUCCUAGUAGGACACUUGUAUCCUAGGCCUCUCUUAUAUAGUGGGGGUAGACACACAAUGUAACCUAUGCCAGCAUAAUAACACAGGAACGCAGGGGAAGCCAGCGGCAUGUGCCGGCGUCCAGAGCGACCUGGUGUGGUAUUGUGAUGGUGUCACGGGGAGGAGCGCCCGUAGUCAAGCCCCGGGGAUGUAGCCAUAUCGGUGAACCUCGUUAACAAAUCUUGGUGUCGUGCUUGUGUGAUUGCUUGGUCCUCGGAUGAUCGACGGAGUGCCUCGGAUUUAUUCUAUCAAGUGGUAUCAGAGCUAGGUUGUUCGAAGGUUGCUGAAUUGUUGAUCUAGAGGAAAGAUUGUUCGAGAGUUGGGCGAGUACAAGGGC
This 2148-nucleotide ribosomal RNA is filed under the name Triticum aestivum (bread wheat). RNAcentral describes it as "partial small subunit ribosomal RNA". The record is from RNAcentral. Lineage: Eukaryota; Viridiplantae; Streptophyta; Magnoliopsida; Poales; Poaceae.